This 492-nucleotide ribosomal RNA is filed under the name uncultured bacterium. RNAcentral describes it as "partial 16S ribosomal RNA". It matches the Rfam family "Bacterial small subunit ribosomal RNA", at positions 29 to 507 of the family's 1533-position model. The record is from RNAcentral.
AGUGAACGCUGGCGGUAGGCCUAACACAUGCAAGUCGAACGGCAGCACAGUAAUUUCUUGCUCUUACGUUUGUCGAGUGUCGUACGUUUGCUGUAUACAUCGGCAUCUACUUUUUCGUGUGUUUUCACGUAGGGUAACUUACUCUACUACCGCAUACUUCCUACGUUUUUAAUCAGUGUUUCUUCUGACCUUUCGCUUUUUAUUGAUCCGAUGUCGGAUUAGCUAGUUGGCGGGGUAAAGGCCCACCAAGUCGACGAUCCGUAGCUGGUCUGAGAGGAUGAACAGACAAAGUGGAACGGAGACACGGAACAGACACCGACGGGAGGCAGCAGUGGGGAAUAUUGGACAAUGGGCGAAAGCAUGAUACAGCAAUACCGAGUGGGUGAAGAAGGACUUCGGGUUGUAAAGAACUUUUGUUGGGAAAGAAAAGCAGCAGGUUAAUACACAGAUGUUAUGACGGUAACAAAAGAAUAAGCACCGGCUAACUUCGUG